CAGCAGCCGCGGUAAAACGGAGGGUGCAAGCGUUAAUCGGAAUUACUGGGCGUAAAGCGCACGCAGGCGGUUUGUUAAGUCAGAUGUGAAAUCCCCGAGCUUAACUUGGGAACUGCAUUUGAAACUGUCAGGCUGGAGUCUUGUAGAGGGGGGUGGAAUUCCAGGUGUAGCGGUGAAAUGCGUAGAGAUCUGGAGGAAUACCGGUGGCGAAGGCGGCCCCCUGGACAAAGACUGACGCUCAGGUGCGAAAGCGUGGGGAGCAAACAGGAUUAGAUACCCGGGUAGUCCCUGUCUCUUAUAC
RNAcentral lists this ribosomal RNA (301 nucleotides) under uncultured bacterium. RNAcentral's name for it is "partial 16S ribosomal RNA". It matches the Rfam family "Bacterial small subunit ribosomal RNA", at positions 509 to 807 of the family's 1533-position model. The record is from RNAcentral.